This 253-nucleotide ribosomal RNA is filed under the name uncultured bacterium. RNAcentral's name for it is "partial 16S ribosomal RNA". It matches the Rfam family "Bacterial small subunit ribosomal RNA", at positions 524 to 776 of the family's 1533-position model. The record is from RNAcentral.
UACGUAGGGUGCAAGCGUUGUCCGGAAUUAUUGGGCGUAAAGCGCGCGCAGGCGGUCCUUUAAGUCUGAUGUGAAAGCCCACGGCUCAACCGUGGAGGGUCAUUGGAAACUGGGGGACUUGAGUACAGAAGAGAAGAGUGGAAUUCCACGUGUAGCGGUGAAAUGCGUAGAGAUGUGGAGGAACACCAGUGGCGAAGGCGACUCUUUGGUCUGUAACUGACGCUGAGGCGCGAAAGCGUGGGGAGCAAACAGG